RNAcentral lists this ribosomal RNA (432 nucleotides) under uncultured bacterium. RNAcentral describes it as "partial 16S ribosomal RNA". It matches the Rfam family "Bacterial small subunit ribosomal RNA", at positions 29 to 507 of the family's 1533-position model. The record is from RNAcentral.
ACGCACGCUGGCGGCAUGCCUCACACAUGCAAGUCGCACGAGACCUUCGGGUCUAGUGGCGCACGGGUGCGUAACGCGUGGGAACCUGCCCUUAGGUUCGGAAUAACUCCCCGAAAGGGGUGCUAAUACCGGAUAAUGUCUUCGGACCAAAGAUUUAUCGCCUUUGGAUGGGCCCGCGUUGGAUUAGCUAGUUGGUAGGGUAAAAGCCUACCAAGGCGACGAUCCAUAGCUGGUCUGAGAGGAUGAUCAGCCACACUGGGACUGAGACACGGCCCAGACUCCUACGGGAGGCAGCAGUGGGGAAUAUUGGACAAUGGGCGAAAGCCUGAUCCAGCAAUGCCGCGUGAGUGAUGAAGGCCUUAGGGUUGUAAAGCUCUUUUACCCGGGAUGAUAAUGACAGUACCGGGAGAAUAAGCUCCGGCUAACUCCGUG